RNAcentral lists this small RNA (55 nucleotides) under Caenorhabditis elegans. RNAcentral's name for it is "Unclassified non-coding RNA F52E10.11". The record is from RNAcentral. Lineage: Eukaryota; Metazoa; Nematoda; Chromadorea; Rhabditida; Rhabditidae.
AUUAUGCACUGCUCCCCACUACUAAAUUUUGGAUGGCUCAUCAAGAGAUGGGCCA